UUCCUGAUGGCUCAGAGGGUAAAGAAUCUGUCUACAAUGCAGGAGACCCAGGUUCAAUCUCUAGGUCAGGAAG
This is a non-coding RNA of Bos taurus (domestic cattle), 73 nucleotides long. The record is from Rfam. Lineage: Eukaryota; Metazoa; Chordata; Mammalia; Artiodactyla; Bovidae.